Molecule: transfer RNA, 70 nt
Filed under: Lampsilis siliquoidea
Lineage: Eukaryota; Metazoa; Mollusca; Bivalvia; Unionida; Unionidae
Description: tRNA-Cys
Source: RNAcentral
AAACCCUGUAGUAUACGAAUCCUUAAUACGAUAAACUGCAACUUUAUUAAAGCUAUUAAGCCGGGGUUUA